This 335-nucleotide ribosomal RNA is filed under the name Multumbo dimorphicus. RNAcentral describes it as "partial small subunit ribosomal RNA". Lineage: Eukaryota; Metazoa; Arthropoda; Arachnida; Opiliones; Gonyleptidae. The record is from RNAcentral.
CCCUAUUAUUAGUAAGGUGAUAUUAAUUAAUAUAUAUUGAAAUUUAAUGAUUUUGGCGGUUGAUUAUUAAUUGGAGGAGCUUGUAUUUUGGUAGAAUUAGCUCUUUAUAUUUAAAUAAUUUAAAAUUUAUUCAUCUCCGUUAUUAAAUAAUAAAUUUAAAUAUAUGUAUAUAUGUAUACUUUGUAGUAUUUCAGGUCAAGAUGUAGUUUUAAUUGUAAAAUAUUAGCUACAUUAAUAUAUUAAUUGAAUUAUUUUAAUUGAAGGAUUUCUGAUAGGAAAUUGAAUUUAAUUGUAAUUAUAAUUAAAGUUUUAUAAUGAAUAGGAAUGGUUAAUGU